RNAcentral lists this ribosomal RNA (301 nucleotides) under uncultured bacterium. Its description in RNAcentral is "partial 16S ribosomal RNA". It matches the Rfam family "Bacterial small subunit ribosomal RNA", at positions 509 to 807 of the family's 1533-position model. The record is from RNAcentral.
CAGUCGCCGCGGUAAUACGAAGGGGGCUAGCGUUGUUCGGAAUUACUGGGCGUAAAGCGCACGUAGGCGGAUAUUUAAGUCAGGGGUGAAAUCCCGCAGCUCAACUGCGGAACUGCCUUUGAUACUGGGUAUCUUGAGUAUGGAAGAGGUUAGUGGAAUUGCGAGUGUAGAGGUGAAAUUCGUAGAUAUUCGCAGGAACACCAGUGGCGAAGGCGGCUAACUGGUCCAUAACUGACGCUGAGGUGCGAAAGCGUGGGGAGCAAACAGGAUUAGAUACCCCCGUAGUCCCUGUCUCUUAUAC